RNAcentral lists this ribosomal RNA (253 nucleotides) under uncultured bacterium. RNAcentral's name for it is "partial 16S ribosomal RNA". It matches the Rfam family "Bacterial small subunit ribosomal RNA", at positions 524 to 776 of the family's 1533-position model. The record is from RNAcentral.
UACGUAGGGGGCAAGCGUUGUCCGGAUUUAUUGGGCGUAAAGAGCUCGUAGGCGGCCGUCCACGUCGGAUGUGAAAGCUCGGGGCUCAACCCUGAGAGGCCAUUCGAUACGGGACGGCUAGAGGCAGGUAGGGGAGAUUGGAAUUCCUGGUGUAGCGGUGAAAUGCGCAGAUAUCAGGAGGAACACCGGUGGCGAAGGCGGAUCUCUGGGCCUUGCCUGACGCUGAGGAGCGAAAGCUGGGGGAGCGAACAGG